RNAcentral lists this ribosomal RNA (253 nucleotides) under uncultured bacterium. RNAcentral describes it as "partial 16S ribosomal RNA". It matches the Rfam family "Bacterial small subunit ribosomal RNA", at positions 524 to 776 of the family's 1533-position model. The record is from RNAcentral.
UACGGGGGGGGGAAGCGUUGUUCGGAAUUACUGGGCGUAAAGGGCGCGUAGGCGGUUGGAUAAGUCAGCUGUGAAAACCACGGGCUUAACUCGUGGCCUGCAGUUGAGACUGUCUGGCUUGAGUGUGGGAGAGGAGAGUGGAAUUCCUGGUGUAGCGGUGAAAUGCGUAGAUAUCAGGAGGAACACCGGUGGCGAAGGCGGCUCUCUGGACCACAACUGACGCUGAGGCGCGAAAGCUAGGGGAGCAAACAGG